This 519-nucleotide ribosomal RNA is filed under the name uncultured Archaeospora. Its description in RNAcentral is "SSU rRNA". It matches the Rfam family "Eukaryotic small subunit ribosomal RNA", at positions 569 to 1092 of the family's 1831-position model. The record is from RNAcentral. Lineage: Eukaryota; Fungi; Glomeromycota; Glomeromycetes; Archaeosporales; Archaeosporaceae.
AGCAGCCGCGGUAAUUCCAGCUCCAAUAGCGUAUAUUAAAGUUGUUGCAGUUAAAAAGCUCGUAGUUGAAUUUUAGACUUGGCCGGGCGGUCCGUCUUUGACGAGUACUGUUCCGUUGUCGGGUCUUCCUUCUGGUGAACCAGCAUGUCCUUAAUUGGGUGUGUUGGGGAGCCAGGACCAUUACCUUGAAAAAAAUUAGAGUGUUUAAAGCGGGCUAUUGCUUGAAUAGAUUAGCAUGGAAUAAUAGAAUAGGACGUUGUGGUUCUAUUUUGUUGGUUUCUAGGACCACCGUAAUGAUUAAUAGGGAUAGUUGGGGGCAUUAGUAUUCAAUUGUCAGAGGUGAAAUUCUUGGAUUUAUUGAAGACUAACUAUUGCGAAAGCAUUUGCCAAGGAUGUUUCAUUAAUCAAGAACGAAAGUUAGGGAUCGAAGACGAUCAGAUACCGUCGUAGUCUUAACCAUAAACUAUGCCGACUAGGAAUCGGGCGACGUUAUUUCACGUACUCGCUCGGCGCCGUUAC